GACGAACGCUGGCGGCGUGCCUAAUACAUGCAAGUCGAACGCAUUUUCUUUCACCGUAGCUUGCUACACCGAAAGAAAAUGAGUGGCGAACGGGUGAGUAACACGUGGGUAACCUGCCCAUCAGCGGGGGAUAACACUUGGAAACAGGUGCUAAUACCGCAUAAUUCCAUUUACCGCAUGGUAGAUAGAUAAAAGGCGCUUUUGCGUCACUGAUGGAUGGACCCGCGGUGCAUUAGCUAGUUGGUGGGGUAACGGCCUACCAAGGCUGCGAUGCAUAGCCGACCUGAGAGGGUGAUCGGCCACACUGGGACUGAGACACGGCCCAGACUCCUACGGGAGGCAGCAGUAGGGAAUCUUCGGCAAUGGACGCAAGUCUGACCGAGCAACGCCGCGUGAGUGAAGAAGGUUUUCGGAUCGUAAAACUCUGUUGUUAGAAAAGAACAAGGAUGAGAGUGGAAAGUUCAUCCCUUGACGGUAUCUAACCAGAAAGCCACGGCUAACUACGUG
Molecule: ribosomal RNA, 507 nt
Filed under: uncultured bacterium
Lineage: Bacteria
Description: partial 16S ribosomal RNA
Rfam family: Bacterial small subunit ribosomal RNA
Source: RNAcentral